This 235-nucleotide long non-coding RNA is filed under the name Phasianus colchicus (ring-necked pheasant). Its description in RNAcentral is "lncRNA (ENSPCLG00000019050.1)". Lineage: Eukaryota; Metazoa; Chordata; Aves; Galliformes; Phasianidae. The record is from RNAcentral.
ACAGCACCCCAUAUGUGACCCACAGCGCGACCCACAGCGUGACCCACAGUGUGACCCACAGCACCCAGUGUGACCCACAGCACCCACAGUGCGACCCAGGGAAGCCCCCAACCACCACAAUCCCUCCCAGGGGAGUCCCCAAAGCCCCAUAGAAACCCCCAAAGCCCCCCAACCCCCCAGCAGAGCCCCCAAACCCCCCAGCAGAGCCCCCAACCACCCACAGAAGCCCCCAGAC